CUCUCGCCUCAGGAUCGGCGAACAGAUAAUUGCUGAAACGGAGCAAAGAAAUAUCACAACAGCAUUGGCAUGAAGCUUGCAAAAGAAAAGGAUUGAUUUCUACAGUGUGUGCAGAUUUUGCUGCCUAUAUUUGGAGCCAGGAUGACUUCUUUAAACGACUCCCUCGUCAGCACCUGACCUGGUGCCCACAGCUACACCAGAACAAGAGAUUCUGAAGCUCAUUGGUGGAGUUUUCAUCCCACCAGGGACCAGGAGAGGAAAGAUGAGUGUGAUCUCCUCCUCCUCAGUCACGCAGGCCAGAAUUCCAUGCUUGGCACCUCAGUAGGUACCUCACUACAAAUGGUGCUGAUGGAUCAGGAAGUCAGGUUUGGACAAGAUAAGAUAGGAUUCAGGGU
RNAcentral lists this long non-coding RNA (395 nucleotides) under Cyanistes caeruleus (blue tit). Its description in RNAcentral is "lncRNA (ENSCCEG00000006764.1)". The record is from RNAcentral. Lineage: Eukaryota; Metazoa; Chordata; Aves; Passeriformes; Paridae.